CCGCGGUUAUACGUGAUAUGGCCCAAGUUGACAGCCCACGGCGUAAAGGGUGGUUAGGGGAUAAAAAUAAAACUAAAGCUAAACGCCCCUCCUGCUGUUAUACGCUCUCAGGGAUAAAGAAAAUCAUCUACGAAAGUGGCUUUAACCCCCCCCCCC
Molecule: ribosomal RNA, 156 nt
Filed under: Paracirrhites hemistictus (whitespot hawkfish)
Lineage: Eukaryota; Metazoa; Chordata; Actinopteri; Centrarchiformes; Cirrhitidae
Description: partial small subunit ribosomal RNA
Source: RNAcentral